UGAGCAAUCUGCCCUUCACUUCGGGAUAACUCCGGGAAACCGGUGCUAAUACCGAAUACGACCACCCCAGGCAUCUGAUGGUGGUGGAAAGUUCCGGCGGUGGAGGAUGAGCUCGCGGCCUAUCAGCUAGUUGGUGGGGUAAUGGCUCACCUAGGCGACGACGGGCAGCUGGUCUGAGUGGAUGGCCAGCCACAUUGGGACUGAGACACGGCCCAGACCUCCUAGGGAGG
RNAcentral lists this ribosomal RNA (230 nucleotides) under uncultured bacterium. RNAcentral describes it as "partial 16S ribosomal RNA". It matches the Rfam family "Bacterial small subunit ribosomal RNA", at positions 118 to 347 of the family's 1533-position model. The record is from RNAcentral.